Molecule: ribosomal RNA, 279 nt
Filed under: Nitrospirota bacterium
Lineage: Bacteria; Pseudomonadati; Nitrospirota
Description: Nitrospirae bacterium (groundwater metagenome) partial 23S ribosomal RNA
Rfam family: Bacterial large subunit ribosomal RNA
Source: RNAcentral
CAGGAUAUUUGAAGGGAGCUGUUCCUAGUACGAGAGGACCGGAAUGGACUGACCUCUGGUGUGUCAGUUGUCGUGCCAACGGCAGCGCUGAGUAGCUAUGUCGGGAAAGGAUAACCGCUGAAAGCAUCUAAGCGGGAAACCUGCCUUAAGAUAAGAUAUCCCGUGGCAUAAGCCACCUAAAGGCCCCUGGUAGACUACCAGGUUGAUAGGCUGGAUGUGUAAGGGCUGUGAGGCCUUAAGCUAACCAGUACUAAUUGGCCGUGCGGCUUGACCAUAUAA